UCCGGUUUGUCACCGGCAGUCUUGCAUGAGUCCCCGGCCGAACCGCUGGCAACAUGCAACGGGGGUUGCGCUCGUUGCGGGACUUAACCCAACACCUCACGGCACGAGCUGACGACAGCCAUGCACCACCUGUGAAAGUGUCCCGAAGGAAAGCCGUGUUUCCACGACGGUCACUCACAUGUCUAGCCCAGGUAAGGUUCUUCGCGUUGCGUCGAAUUAAACCACAUGCUCCGCUGCUUGUGCGGGUCCCCGUCAAUUCCUUUGAGUUUUAAUCUUGCGACCGUACUCCCCAGGCGGGAUGCUUAAUGCGUUAGCUGCGCCACUGAAGGGUAAACCCACCAACGGCUAGCAUCCAUCGUUUACGGCGUGGACUAC
This 375-nucleotide unclassified non-coding RNA is filed under the name uncultured bacterium. Its description in RNAcentral is "contains 16S-23S intergenic spacer region". The record is from RNAcentral.